Molecule: ribosomal RNA, 486 nt
Filed under: uncultured bacterium
Lineage: Bacteria
Description: partial 16S ribosomal RNA
Rfam family: Bacterial small subunit ribosomal RNA
Source: RNAcentral
AUUGAACGCUGGCGGCAUGCCUUACACAUGCAAGUCGAACGGCAGCACGGGUGCUUGCACCUGGUGGCGAGUGGCGAAAGGGUGAGUAAUAAAUGGGGACAUGUCCUGUAGGGGGGGAUAGGCGGGCGAAAGCCGGAUUAAUACCGCAUACGAUCUACGGAGGAAAGCGGGGGACCUUCGGGCCUCGCGCUAUAGGGUUGGCCGAUGGCUGAUUAGCUAGUUGGGGGGGUACAGGCCUACCACGGCGACGAUCAGUAGCUGGGCUGAGCGGACGACCAGCCACACUGGGACUGAGACACGGCCCAGACUCCUACGGGAGGCAGCAUUGGGUAAUUUUGGACAAUGGGCGAAAGCCUGAUCCAGCAAUGCCGCGUGUGUGAAGAAGGCCUUCUGGUUGUAAAGCACUUUUGUCCGGAAAGAAAUCCUUGGCCCUAAUACGGUCGGGGGAUGACGGUACCGGAAGAAUAAGCACCGGCUAACUACGUG